CCUACGGGCGGCUGCAGUGGGGAAUAUUGCACAAUGGGCGCAAGCCUGAUGCAGCCAUGCCGCGUGUGUGAAGAAGGCCUUCGGGUUGUAAAGCACUUUCAGCGGGGAGGAAGGCGUUAAGGUUAAUAACCUUGUCGAUUGACGUUACCCGCAGAAGAAGCACCGGCUAACUCCGUGCCAGCAGCCGCGGUAAUACGGAGGGUGCAAGCGUUAAUCGGAAUUACUGGGCGUAAAGCGCACGCAGGCGGUCUGUCAAGUCGGAUGUGAAAUCCCCGGGCUCAACCUGGGAACUGCAUUCGAAACUGGCAGGCUAGAGUCUUGUAGAGGGGGGUAGAAUUCCGGGUGUAGCGGUGAAAUGCGUAGAGAUCUGGAGGAAUACCGGUGGCGGAGGCGGCCCCCUGGACAAAGACUGACGCUCAGGUGCGAAAGCGUGGGGAGCAAACAGGAUUAGAUACCCCGGUAGUC
This 465-nucleotide ribosomal RNA is filed under the name uncultured Klebsiella sp. Its description in RNAcentral is "bacterial SSU rRNA". It matches the Rfam family "Bacterial small subunit ribosomal RNA", at positions 338 to 795 of the family's 1533-position model. Lineage: Bacteria; Pseudomonadati; Pseudomonadota; Gammaproteobacteria; Enterobacterales; Enterobacteriaceae. The record is from RNAcentral.